This 367-nucleotide small RNA is filed under the name Histoplasma ohiense. RNAcentral's name for it is "hypothetical lncRNA". Lineage: Eukaryota; Fungi; Ascomycota; Eurotiomycetes; Onygenales; Ajellomycetaceae. The record is from RNAcentral.
GCACCAUCACCCCUCUCGCUGGAAACCACCAAUUCAUAAGAUUAUGCUAUCUUUUUUUGGUAUUUUAUGACCCUAUUGGCUUUUUGUUAAUAAGAUAUGUUGGUACUCCGUACAGACUAGGUGCAUUAGCAAAAAAGAGAGGUUUCGUUCAACACGCGAAGCAAACCAUCAACCGUUCCAUGCAACCCAUUCAUUGAUAAUUACCAUCCAGCCCAUUGCAAAGACAAAAAAGAAAAGGAAAAAGAAAAGAAAAAAGAAACAGAUAAAAGAAAAGAAGAAAGAGAAAGAGAAAAAGCGAAAAAAAAGAAAAAGAAAAACGAAGGAAAAGACAGAAGCAAGAAAAAAAAUAGAAAAAAAAAAUCGUAAC